This 660-nucleotide ribosomal RNA is filed under the name Shigella flexneri. RNAcentral's name for it is "bacterial SSU rRNA". It matches the Rfam family "Bacterial small subunit ribosomal RNA", at positions 56 to 707 of the family's 1533-position model. The record is from RNAcentral. Lineage: Bacteria; Pseudomonadati; Pseudomonadota; Gammaproteobacteria; Enterobacterales; Enterobacteriaceae.
UGCAGUCGAACGGUAACAGGAAGCGCUUGCUGCUUCGCUGACGAGUGGCGGACGGGUGAGUAAUGUCUGGGAAACUGCCUGAUGGAGGGGGAUAACUACUGGAAACGGUAGCUAAUACCGCAUAACGUCGCAAGACCAAAGAGGGGGACCUUCGGGCCUCUUGCCAUCGGAUGUGCCCAGAUGGGAUUAGCUUGUUGGUGGGGUAACGGCUCACCWAGGCGACGAUCCCUAGCUGGUCUGAGAGGAUGACCAGCCACACUGGAACUGAGACACGGUCCAGACUCCUACGGGAGGCAGCAGUGGGGAAUAUUGCACAAUGGGCGCAAGCCUGAUGCAGCCAUGCCGCGUGUAUGAAGAAGGCCUUCGGGUUGUAAAGUACUUUCAGCGGGGAGGAAGGGAGUAAAGUUAAUACCUUUGCUCAUUGACGUUACCCGCAGAAGAAGCACCGGCUAACUCCGUGCCAGCAGCCGCGGUAAUACGGAGGGUGCAAGCGUUAAUCGGAAUUACUGGGCGUAAAGCGCACGCAGGCGGUUUGUUAAGUCAGAUGUGAAAUCCCCGGGCUCAACCUGGGAACUGCAUCUGAUACUGGCAAGCUUGAGUCUCGUAGAGGGGGGUAGAAUUCCAGGUGUAGCGGUGAAAUGCGUAGAGAUCUGGAGGAAU